GAUGAACGCUGGCGGCGUGCCUAAUACAUGCAAGUCGAGCGAACAGACGAGGAGCUUGCUCCUCUGACGUUAGCGGCGGACGGGUGAGUAACACGUGGAUAACCUACCUAUAAGACUGGGAUAACUUCGGGAAACCGGAGCUAAUACCGGAUAAUACAUUGAACCGCAUGGUUCAAUAGUGAAAGACGGUUUUGCUGUCACUUAUAGAUGGAUCCGCGCCGCAUUAGCUAGUUGGUAAGGUAACGGCUUACCAAGGCAACGAUGCGUAGCCGACCUGAGAGGGUGAUCGGCCACACUGGAACUGAGACACGGUCCAGACUCCUACGGGAGGCAGCAGUAGGGAAUCUUCCGCAAUGGGCGAAAGCCUGACGGAGCAACGCCGCGUGAGUGAUGAAGGUCUUCGGAUCGUAAAACUCUGUUAUUAGGGAAGAACAAAUGUGUAAGCAACUAUGCACGUCUUGACGGUACCUAAUCAGAAAGCCACGGCUAACUACGUG
This 497-nucleotide ribosomal RNA is filed under the name uncultured bacterium. RNAcentral's name for it is "partial 16S ribosomal RNA". It matches the Rfam family "Bacterial small subunit ribosomal RNA", at positions 28 to 507 of the family's 1533-position model. The record is from RNAcentral.